CCCUUAGAUGUCCGGGGCUGCACGCGCGCUACACUGUAGAAAGCAGCGUGCUUUAAAACCUUUCCUGAAAAGGAUGGGUAACCCCAGCAAAAUUCUACGUGCUUGGGAUAGAGAUUUGCAAUUUUCUCUCUUGAACGAGGAAUUCCCAGUAAGUGCGAGUCAUCAGCUCGCGCUGAUUACGUCCCUGCCCUUUGUACACACCGCCCGUCGCUACUACCGAUUGAAUGGUUUAGUGAGAUCUCUGGAUUGACGCUGGCUAGGGGGCGACCCUUGGCCAGGCUGUCGAGAAACUGCUCAAACUUGAUCAUUUAGAGGAAGUAAAAGUCGUAACA
This 332-nucleotide ribosomal RNA is filed under the name uncultured eukaryote. RNAcentral's name for it is "partial 18S ribosomal RNA". It matches the Rfam family "Eukaryotic small subunit ribosomal RNA", at positions 1470 to 1796 of the family's 1831-position model. The record is from RNAcentral.